AUUCCAGCUCCAAUAGCGUAUAUUAAAGUUGUUGCAGUUAAAAAGCUCGUAGUUGGAUUUCUGGUUUGAUGCCCUGGCCCGCUUCAAAUUUUGGAGUGUGUGCCGGCUGUGCGUCUGCCAUCCUUCUAGAAAUUGUGUUCCAUCCCUUCACUGGGAUAGACCCGAGAUCUAGAUCUUUUACUUUGAAGAAAUUAGAGUGUUCAAAGCAGGCUCGCGCUGUGAAUACAUUAGCAUGGAAUAAUAAUUUAGGACUUGGUAUCCUAUUUUGUUGGUUUUCAGGAUCUAAGUAAUGAUUGAUAGGGAUAGUUGGGGGUGCUAGUAUUGAGCGGCCAGAGGUGAAAUUCUUGGAUUCGCUCAAGACUAACUUAUGCGAAAGCAUUCACCAAGGAUGUCUUCAUCA
RNAcentral lists this ribosomal RNA (400 nucleotides) under Botuliformidae sp. Its description in RNAcentral is "partial small subunit ribosomal RNA". It matches the Rfam family "Eukaryotic small subunit ribosomal RNA", at positions 582 to 975 of the family's 1831-position model. Lineage: Eukaryota; Cercozoa; Thecofilosea. The record is from RNAcentral.